Molecule: long non-coding RNA, 8468 nt
Filed under: Mytilus galloprovincialis (Mediterranean mussel)
Lineage: Eukaryota; Metazoa; Mollusca; Bivalvia; Mytilida; Mytilidae
Source: RNAcentral
ACCUCGGUUUACAGACGUUUAAUAAACUGGAUCCCUGUUGUGUUCACUUAUCGAUACACUACGAUGGAAUUACGGACCAGUUUAACAUAAACAUGGUAAAUAGAUAGACAGCUGAUAAUCAUAAUUGAUUAAGAAAUAACCUGGAAGAAGAAAUGAGUUAACUAUUGAUUAUAACAGAGACGAGAAUGCCAUCGUGUUUGUUCUGCUAAAAAAAGCAGGAACAUUGGAGUUUAUGGUUAGAUUUUAAAUAUUUAUUGUCUCCAAACUGGGUAAAUUUGAUAUAGUAACACCCCCCCCCCCCUUUUUUUUUUAAAUAACUCGAGAACCACACAUCGCGCUCGCUUAACAAAGUAACAAUAAGAAAUAAUUAUUGUUAGUUUCAAGAAUAAUUAAUCGUCAAAACUUAUCCCCUCCCCGACAUCAAAGGAAGUUAAAUGUAUUAUCCCAAAAUUAGACCAAAUUAUUAUGAUAUAAGGACGUCUUGACAGGCUAUUAUUUUAUUUUGUUUUGUUGGGUUUUUUUUUUUUUGCUUUGACGUCUUCCUCCUGUAUGAAAAAAACAUAAUAGACCCCCCCCCCCUUUUUCCCCAUAAUAUAGCUUUUUAAGAAGUCAUAAUUAUUUGGACUACCCCUGAAUAUAUUUCAGACAGACUCUUCUCUAAAAAAAAUGUAAACAUGAUUUGAGAGAAAUCUUUGGAAUAGUUUUUUAAAUGAUUUAAUUAUUUAUGUCAUGUAUAUAAUUAACAUUAACAUAGUUAUAAACUGAGACUACUAGUAUAACACAUAGUGUUAUAGUAGUCUCAGCUAUAAACUUUCCAUUGUAUUGACCAAUAUGACUAACUCAUAUGCUCUUUCCCAUAAAUGUCACAAUAUCAAUAUAUUACAGUAAAACUGAUAGUUUGAUGACAUUGUUUAAGACUAUUGACCUCAGGUCAGCCUAAACUGAGUUUAAAACUGUAAUUUAUUCAUUAAAACAGUUCAAGACAUGUACCUUCUGAAAUGUGAUUGCAUCAAAAUUAAACCUAAGGCAUAACAUACUUAGUGUGCAGGAAGUGCCACCAAAUAAAUACUGAUUUGUAAAAUUAGAUGAUGAUAUUUGUGAAGUCAAAGAUAUUAUAGCUAGUUAUAACUGGUUUUAGAUAUAAAUCUGAGUAAAAGGUUGAUUUAUAUGUGCUCUUUCAUGUUUAGAUUAUAAUUUAAAUUUAAUCUUUUGAAGUUUUUUUUAUAAUAUUAAGACAUUAAAAUCACAAUUAUUUAUUUAUACACAAAAAAAAUAAUUUUUGUCCUUUUUUAGUUGAAUGACUGUACACAAACAUUAUACACACAUAAUUUUGAUAAUUCUGUAAUGUUUUUUUUCUAUAGCCCCAGAAUGUGACAAAAGACUUAUUAAUCCAGAUUUACAAAAAAUAGAAAUAGUUCAGCUACCAUAAGACUGCUAUGACAAAAAAAUUCUGCAGUUUCCAGAAUUUGAGGUAGAGUAUAGUUAGGAAUAGUUUGAUUAUGCAGAUGCUUAGUUUGCCAUAAACAAUUAUGCCCUUGAUACAAAAGCAGAGGAAACAAAAAAGUAUGAAAAUAGUUGAAAAAAGUAAUCAUUAUUACCUAGUCAUAUACUGUAAAUAGAAAAAGAGAAAAGCACUGGUUAUGAUUUGGUAUUUUUAAUAGCAUUAUCAUUUGUCCAUAACUUGGAAUAUAUACUGGAUUGAGCUUGACAUUUAUUUAAUAUCAUUGACACAUGGUUGCAAGAAAUGAAAGAUGGUAAUUUAAACCUAGCAAUUUUAUUAAGAUUUAAAAAAAAAGCUUUUGAUUUGGUAGAAUAUGACUUUCUUUGUUUAAAGCUCGACAUGUAUGGAUUUAGUGAGACUACUGUUAGUUUUUUUAAGUCGUACCUGAAUAACAAAAGGUAUACAUUUGUAAUGUUAACUCUGAACAACAACAUGUAAAAUUUGGUGUUCCCCAAUGUUCUAUACCUUGUCCUCUAUUGUUUGUGCUAUUUAUAAAUGACCUUCCCUUAUGCAUUAAAAAUUGUGAAACAGACCUAUAUCGUUGUUGUAUAUGCUGAUGACACCACUAUUCAUAAAUCAGGGGGAAACAUCUAGAAAAUAUAAAUGAUGAUGUUCAAGAAGAUUUAUACAGGGUUGAAGAGUGGUGUAAAAUGAAUAACAUGUUCAUAGAUGCAAAUGAAACAAAAUGUUUGAUUACUGGAACAAAGCAGAAACUAUUCAGACUUUUCAACCAAACUUGAUAAUAAAUUAAAGUAUUACAAAAUUCUUCAUGUGAAAAAAUAUUAGUUUCAAAAUUGACAGCCCACUAAGUAACUGGAGAAAUCAAAUUGACCAAGGUUGUGCUAAUAUAUCAUCCAGAAUAUACCAUCUUUCUUAAAUACAUUUUUUUUUAUAUAACUGCAAGAAAACAUAAUACAAUGGGUGUUCUGCCCCUAAUUGACUACUGUUGUAUUAUUUGGGAUGAAUGUAAAAAUUGAGGGAUAACAAGAAUUUUAAAAAUCCAAAAAAAGGGCAGCAUGAUAAAUUCUAGAUGCAGAUCCGUUAUCCCUCUUGGUAUAUAGGAGCACUAUAUUCUAUGUUAACCUCCGACAGUAGGUAUAAACAAAUACUGUUGAUAGACGGUAUAUAGGAGCACUAUAUUCCAUGUUAACCACCGACGGUAGGUAUAGACAAAUACUGGUUGAUAGACGGUAUAUAGGAGCACUAUAUUGUAUGUUAACCACCGACGGUAGGUAUAGACAAAUACUGUUGAUAGACGGUAUAUAGGAGCACUAUAUUGUAUGUUAACUACACCGACGGUAGGUAUAGACAAAUACUGUUGAUAGACGGUAUAUAGGAGCACUAUAUUGUAUGUUAACUACCGACAGUAGGUAUAGACAAAUACUGUUGAUAGACGGUAUAUAGGAGCACUAUAUUGUAUGUUAACCACCGACGGUAGGUAUAGACAAAUACUGUUGAUAGACGGUAUAUAGGAGCACUAUAUUGUAUGUUAACUACCGACGGUAGGUAUAGACAAAUACUGUUGAUAGACGGUAUAUAGGAGCACUAUAUUGUAUGUUAACUACCGACAGUAGGUAUAGACAAAUACUGUUGAUAGACGGUAUAUAGGAGCACUAUAUUGUAUGUAUGUUAACCACCGACGGUAGGUAUAGACAAAUACUGUUGAUAGAUGGUAUAUAGGAGCACUAUAUUGUAUGUUAACUACCGACGGUAGGUAUAGACAAAUACUGUUGAUAGACGGUAUAUGGGAGCACUAUAUUGUAUGUUAACCACCGACGGUAGGUAUAGACAAAUACUGUUGAUAGACGGUAUAUAGGAGCACUAUAUUGUAUGUUAACCACCAACGGUAGGUAUAGACAAAUACUGUUGAUAGACGGUAUAUAGCACUAUAUUGUAUGUUAACUACCGACGGUAGGUAUAGACAAAUACUGUUGAUAGACGGUAUAUAGGAGCACUAUAUUGUAUGUUAACCUACCGACGGUAGGUAUAGACAAAUACUGUUGAUAGACGGUAUAUAGGAGCACUAUAUUGUAUGUUAACCACCGACGGUAGGUAUAGACAAAUACUGUUGAUAGACGGUAUAUAGGAGCACUAUAUUGUAUGUUAACUACCGACAGUAGGUAUAGACAAAUACUGUUGAUAGACGGUAUAUAGGAGCACUAUAUUGUAUGUUAACUACCGACGGUAGGUAUAGACAAAUACUGUUGAUAGACGGUAUAUAGGAGCACUAUAUUGUAUGUUAACCACCGACGGUAGGUAUAGACAAAUACUGUUGAUAGACGGUAUAUAGGAGCACUAUAUUGUAUGUUAACUACCGACAGUAGGUAUAGACAAAUACUGUUGAUAGACGGUAUAUAGGAGCACUAUAUUGUAUGUUAACCACCGACGGUAGGUAUAGACAAAUACUGUUGAUAGACGGUAUAUAGGAGCACUAUAUUGUAUGUUAACCACCGACGGUAGGUAUAGACAAAUACUGUUGAUAGACGGUAUAUAGGAGCACUAUAUUGUAUGUUAACUACCGACGGUAGGUAUAGACAAAUACUGUUGAUAGACGGUAUAUAGGAGCACUAUAUUGUAUGUUAACUACCGACGGUAGGUAUAGACAAAUACUGUUGAUAGACGGUAUAUAGGAGCACUAUAUUGUAUGUUAACCACCGACGGUAGGUAUAGACAAAUACUGUUGAUAGACGGUAUAUAGGAGCACUAUAUUGUAUGUUAACUACCGACAGUAGGUAUAGACAAAUACUGUUGAUAGACGGUAUAUAGGAGCACUAUAUUGUAUGUUAACUACCGACGGUAGGUAUAGACAAAUACUGUUGAUAGACGGUAUAUAGGAGCACUAUAUUGUAUGUUAACUACCGACGGUAGGUAUAGACAAAUACUGUUGAUAGACGGUAUAUAGGAGCACUAUAUUGUAUGUUAACCACCGACGGUAGGUAUAGACAAAUACUGUUGAUAGACGGUAUAUAGGAGCACUAUAUUGUAUGUUAACUACCGACGGUAGGUAUAGACAAAUACUGUUGAUAGACGGUAUAUAGGAGCACUAUAUUGUAUGUUAACCACCGACGGUAGGUAUAGACAAAUACUGUUGAUAGACGGUAUAUAGGAGCACUAUAUUGUAUGUUAACUACCGACGGUAGGUAUAGACAAAUACUGUUGAUAGACGGUAUAUAGGAGCACUAUAUUUGUAUGUUAACUACCGACAGUAGGUAUAGACAAAUACUGUUUGAUAGACGGUAUAUAGGAGCACUAUAUUGUAUGUUAACUACCGACAGUAGGUAUAGACAAAUACUGUUGAUAGACGGUAUAUAGGAGCACUAUAUUGUAUGUUAACCACCGACGGUAGGUAUAGACAAAUACUGUUGAUAGAUGGUAUAUAGGAGCACUAUAUUGUAUGUUAACUACCGACGGUAGGUAUAGACAAAUACUGUUGAUAGACGGUAUAUAGGAGCACUAUAUUGUAUGUUAACCACCGACGGUAGGUAUAGACAAAUACUGUUGAUAGACGGUAUAUAGGAGCACUAUAUUGUAUGUUAACUACCGACGGUAGGUAUAGACAAAUACUGUUGAUAGACGGUAUAUAGGAGCACUAUAUUGUAUGUUAACUACCGACGGUAGGUAUAGACAAAUACUGUUGAUAGACGGUAUAUAUAGGAGCACUAUAUUGUAUGUUAACCACCGACGGUAGGUAUAGACAAAUACUGUUGAUAGACGGUAUAUAGGAGCACUAUAUUGUAUGUUAACUACCGACGGUAGGUAUAGACAAAUACUGUUGAUAGACGGUAUAUAGGAGCACUAUAUUGUAUGUUAACUACCGACGGUAGGUAUAGACAAAUACUGUUGAUAGACGGUAUAUAGGAGCACUAUAUUGUAUGUUAACUACCGACAGUAGGUAUAGACAAAUACUGUUGAUAGACGGUAUAUAGGAGCACUAUAUUGUAUGUUAACUACCGACGGUAGGUAUAGACAAAUACUGUUGAUAGACGGUAUAUAGGAGCACUAUAUUGUAUGUUAACCACCGACGGUAGGUAUAGACAAAUACUGUUGAUAGACGGUAUAUAGGAGCACUAUAUUGUAUGUUAACUACCGACAGUAGGUAUAGACAAAUACUGUUGAUAGACGGUAUAUAGGAGCACUAUAUUGUAUGUUAACCACCGACGGUAGGUAUAGACAAAUACUGUUGAUAGACGGUAUAUAGGAGCACUAUAUUGUAUGUUAACUACCGACGGUAGGUAUAGACAAAUACUGUUGAUAGACGGUAUAUAGGAGCACUAUAUGUAUGUAUGUUACACACGACGGUAGGUAUAGACAAAUACUGUUGAUAGAUGGUAUAUAGGAGCACUAUAUUGUAUGUUAACUACCGACAGUAGGUAUAGACAAAUACUGUUGAUAGACGGUAUAUAGGAGCACUAUAUUGUAUGUUAACCACCGACGGUAGGUAUAGACAAAUACUGUUGAUAGACGGUAUAUAGGAGCACUAUAUUGUAUGUUAACUACCGACGGUAGGUAUAGACAAAUACUGUUGAUAGACGGUAUAUAGGAGCACUAUAUUGUAUGUUAACUACCGACGGUAGGUAUAGACAAAUACUGUUGAUAGACGGUAUAUAGGAGCACUAUAUUGUAUGUUAACUACCGACGGUAGGUAUAGACAAAUACUGUUGAUAGACGGUAUAUAGGAGCACUAUAUUGUAUGUUAACUACCGACGGUAGGUAUAGACAAAUACUGUUGAUAGACGGUAUAUAGGAGCACUAUAUUGUAUGUUAACCACCGACGGUAGGUAUAUAGACAAAUACUGUUGAUAGACGGUAUAUAGGAGCACUAUAUUGUAUGUUAACUACCGACGGUAGGUAUAGACAAAUACUGUUGAUAGACGGUAUAUAGGAGCACUAUAUUGUAUGUUAACUACCGACAGUAGGUAUAGACAAAUACUGUUGAUAGACGGUAUAUAGGAGCACUAUAUUGUAUGUAUGUUAACCACCGACGGUAGGUAUAGACAAAUACUGUUGAUAGACGGUAUAUAGGAGCACUAUAUUGUAUGUUAACUACCGACAGUAGGUAUAGACAAAUACUGUUGAUAGACGGUAUAUAGGAGCACUAUAUUGUAUGUUAACCACCGACGGUAGGUAUAGACAAAUACUGUUGAUAGACGGUAUAUAGGAGCACUAUAUUGUAUGUUAACCACCGACGGUAGGUAUAGACAAAUACUGUUGAUAGACGGUAUAUAGGAGCACUAUAUUGUAUGUUAACUACCGACGGUAGGUAUAGACAAAUACUGUUGAUAGACGGUAUAUAGGAGCACUAUAUUGUAUGUUAACUACCGACGGUAGGUAUAGACAAAUACUGUUGAUAGACGGUAUAUAGGAGCACUAUAUUGUAUGUUAACUACCGACGGUAGGUAUAGACAAAUACUGUUGAUAGACGGUAUAUAGGAGCACUAUAUUGUAUGUUAACCACCGACGGUAGGUAUAGACAAAUACUGUUGAUAGACGGUAUAUAGGAGCACUAUAUUGUAUGUUAACUACCGACAGUAGGUAUAGACAAAUACUGUUGAUAGACGGUAUAUAGGAGCACUAUAUUGUAUGUUAACCACCGACGGUAGGUAUAGACAAAUACUGUUGAUAGACGGUAUAUAGGAGCACUAUAUUGUAUGUUAACUACCGACAGUAGGUAUAGACAAAUACUGUUGAUAGACGGUAUAUAGGAGCACUAUAUUGUAUGUUAACCACCGACGGUAGGUAUAGACAAUACUGUUACGGUAAUAGGAGCACUAUAUUGUAUGUUAACCGACGGUAGGUAUAGACAAAUACUGUUGAUAGACGGUAUAUAGGAGCACUAUAUUGUAUGUUAACCACCGACGGUAGGUAUAGACAAAUACUGUUGAUAGACGGUAUAUAGGAGCACUAUAUUGUAUGUUAACUACCGACGGUAGGUAUAGACAAAUACUGUUGAUAGACGGUAUAUAGGAGCACUAUAUUGUAUGUUAACUACCGACGGUAGGUAUAGACAAAUACUGUUGAUAGACGGUAUAUAGGAGCACUAUAUUGUAUGUUAACUACCGACGGUAGGUAUAGACAAAUACUGUUGAUAGACGGUAUAUAGGAGCACUAUAUUGUAUGUUAACUACCGACAGUAGGUAUAGACAAAUACUGUUGAUAGACGGUAUAUAGGAGCACUAUAUUGUAUGUUAACCACCGACGGUAGGUAUAGACAAAUACUGUUGAUAGACGGUAUAUAGGAGCACUAUAUUGUAUGUUAACCACCGACGGUAGGUAUAGACAAAUACUGUUGAUAGACGGUAUAUAGGAGCACUUUAUUGCAUGUUAACCACCGACGGUAGGUAUAGACAAAUACUGUUGAUGGACGGUGCAAAGGAGUACUAUAUCGUAUGUUAACCACUGACGGUAGGUAUAGACAAAUACUGUUGAUAGACGGUAUAUAGGAGGACUGUAUUGUAUGUUAACCACCGACGGUAGGUAUAGACAAAUACUGUUGAUAUACGGUAUAUAGGAGUAUUGUAUUUUAUGUCAAACAUCGACGAUAGGUAUGGACAAAAUCCGACAAAUACUGUAUAUACAGACAGUGUAUAGAAGUACUGUAUUGUAUGGUAAACACUGACGGUUGGUAUGGACAAUUUCUGUAUCAUGCAUCAAUUGUAAAUAAAAGUAUCAUGUGAGUGACACAGGCUCAUUGAAGCCUCUAGUUUUGAUAUAUUAUUAAUGUGGAGAUCUGGUCUAAUUUAUCAUUUUCUCUAUUACAUGCAUGAUAACUGCAACAAUUGAAUUGAAAUAAAAGUGAUAAUAUUUCUGUUGUAGGUUAUCAAGAUUUAGUGUUUCCAUACAAGUGACAAAGAUUGAACAACAAAAACAUCUCAAACUUUACAGGACAGAGUAGACUUUUUUCACUGUGCUUAGUUUUGUCUUUAUGUCUAAAUUAUGAUACCUUUAAAAAAAACCAAUAAAAUAUGGA